RNAcentral lists this ribosomal RNA (497 nucleotides) under uncultured bacterium. RNAcentral's name for it is "partial 16S ribosomal RNA". It matches the Rfam family "Bacterial small subunit ribosomal RNA", at positions 28 to 507 of the family's 1533-position model. The record is from RNAcentral.
GAUGAACGCUGGCGGCGUGCCUAAUACAUGCAAGUCGAGCGAACAGACGAGGAGCUUGCUCCCCUGACGUUAGCGGCGGACGGGUGAGUAACACGUGGAUAACCUACCUAUAAGACUGGGAUAACUUCGGGAAACCGGAGCUAAUACCGGAUAAUAUAUUGAACCGCAUGGUUCAAUAGUUAAAGACGGUUUUGCUGUCACUUAUAGCUGGAUCCGCGCCCCAUUAGCUAGUUGGUAAGGUAACGGCUUACCAAGGCGACGAUGCGUAGCCGACCUGAGAGGGUGAUCGGCCACACGGGAACUGAGACACGGUCCAGACUCCUACGGGAGGCAGCAGUAGGGAAUCUUCCGCAAUGGGCGAAAGCCUGACGGAGCAACGCCGCGUGAGUGAUGAAGGUCUUCGGAUCGUAAAACUCUGUUAUUAGGGAAGAACAAAUGUGUAAGUAACUAUGCACGUCUUGACGGUACCUGAUCAGAAAGCCACGGCUAACUACGUG